RNAcentral lists this long non-coding RNA (490 nucleotides) under Calidris pugnax (ruff). RNAcentral's name for it is "lncRNA (ENSCPUG00000008509.1)". The record is from RNAcentral. Lineage: Eukaryota; Metazoa; Chordata; Aves; Charadriiformes; Scolopacidae.
UCAAAGAGAGGCACAAUGAUAUUUGCAUUUUUGCUUGCAAGAUUAUACAGUUAGGAAGCUGCCUUUGGAAAGUGCAUGGAGGGAGAGUUUGGUUCUCCCUGGCAGUGGGAGAGCAGAGGUGAGGAUGGAUUUAUCUUCUAUGAAUGUCACCACAGAAUGGUAGGAACCUACAGAUGCAACCUGAAACCCUCUUCAGCCUGCCACAGUCCUCCAGGAGCCAGGUGCAGAGUGUUUCAACCAAGGACAGAACUGGACGGAGUGAAAACAGAAAUCUCUGGGGAAUGAGUAGUCACAAUUGUGAAGAAAAAUCGGUGUUGUUCACUAGCCCUCACCGUGGCACACUCGCUCCUGAAGUGCUCUUAUGGCUGGACAGUAGCCAGAGGUUUCUGGGUGCAAGUCCCUACAAGCUUCUGGACCUCUACUAUGCUCUGUCAACAUUCUCAGUUUUUUUCUGCAGUCACAAGAGACAGAAGUUUUCAUUCAUGAGCAU